RNAcentral lists this ribosomal RNA (253 nucleotides) under uncultured bacterium. Its description in RNAcentral is "partial 16S ribosomal RNA". It matches the Rfam family "Bacterial small subunit ribosomal RNA", at positions 524 to 776 of the family's 1533-position model. The record is from RNAcentral.
UACGGAGGGUGCAAACGUUGCUCGGAAUUAUUGGGCGUAAAGCGCCCGUAGGCGGCCGAAUAAGUCGGGUGUGAAAGCCCUGGGCUCAACCCAGGAAGUGCACUCGAAACUGCUCGGCUUGAGUAUGGAAGAGGGUUGCGGAAUUCCCGGUGUAGAGGUGAAAUUCGUAGAUAUCGGGAGGAACACCAGUGGCGAAGGCGGCUCACUGGCCCGGUACUGACGCUGAGGUGCGAAAGCGUGGGGAGCAAACAGG